This 164-nucleotide unclassified non-coding RNA is filed under the name soil metagenome. RNAcentral's name for it is "partial internal transcribed spacer 1". The record is from RNAcentral.
AAGAGACGUUUGCCCCUUCGGGGUAUACCUCCCACCCUUUGUUUAUUAUACCUUUGUUGCUUUGGCGGGCCCGUCCUCGGACCACCGGCUUCUGCUGGUCAGUGCCCGCCAGAGGACCUAAAACUCUGUUUUGUUAAUAUUGUCUGAGUACUAUAUAAUAGUUA